UUUUAUGAGAGUUUGAUCCUGGCUCAGGACGAACGCUGGCGGCGUGCCUAAUACAUGCAAGUCGAACGCUUCUUUUUCCAACGGAGCUUGCUCCACCGGAAAAAGAAGAGUGGCGAACGGGUGAGUAACACGUGGGUAACCUGCCCAUCAGAAGGGGAUAACACUUGGAAACAGGUGCUAAUACCGUAUAACAAUCRAAACCGCAUGGUUUUGAUUUGAAAGGCGCUUUCGGGUGUCGCUGAUGGAUGGACCCGCGGUGCAUUAGCUAGUUGGUGAGGUAACGGCUCACCAAGGCCACGAUGCAUAGCCGACCUGAGAGGGUGAUCGGCCACAUUGGGACUGAGACACGGCCCAAACUCCUACGGGAGGCAGCAGUAGGGAAUCUUCGGCAAUGGACGAAAGUCUGACCGAGCAACGCCGCGUGAGUGAAGAAGGUUUUCGGAUCGUAAAACUCUGUKGUUAGAGAAGAACAAGGAUGAGAGUAACUGUUCAUCCCUUGACGGUAUCUAACCAGAAAGCCACGGCUAACUACGUGCCAGCAGCCGCGGUAAUACGUAGGUGGCAAGCGUUGUCCGGAUUUAUUGGGCGUAAAGCGAGCGCAAGCGGUUUCUUAAGUCUGAUGUGAAAACCCCCGGCUCAACCGGGGAGGGUCAUUGGAAAC
This 661-nucleotide ribosomal RNA is filed under the name Enterococcus faecium. RNAcentral's name for it is "bacterial SSU rRNA". It matches the Rfam family "Bacterial small subunit ribosomal RNA", at positions 1 to 633 of the family's 1533-position model. The record is from RNAcentral. Lineage: Bacteria; Bacillati; Bacillota; Bacilli; Lactobacillales; Enterococcaceae.